This 575-nucleotide ribosomal RNA is filed under the name Klebsiella variicola. RNAcentral describes it as "bacterial SSU rRNA". It matches the Rfam family "Bacterial small subunit ribosomal RNA", at positions 59 to 625 of the family's 1533-position model. The record is from RNAcentral. Lineage: Bacteria; Pseudomonadati; Pseudomonadota; Gammaproteobacteria; Enterobacterales; Enterobacteriaceae.
CAGUCGAGCGGUAGCACAGAGAGCUUGCUCUCGGGUGACGAGCGGCGGACGGGUGAGUAAUGUCUGGGAAACUGCCUGAUGGAGGGGGAUAACUACUGGAAACGGUAGCUAAUACCGCAUAAUGUCGCAAGACCAAAGUGGGGGACCUUCGGGCCUCAUGCCAUCAGAUGUGCCCAGAUGGGAUUAGCUAGUAGGUGGGGUAACGGCUCACCUAGGCGACGAUCCCUAGCUGGUCUGAGAGGAUGACCAGCCACACUGGAACUGAGACACGGUCCAGACUCCUACGGGAGGCAGCAGUGGGGAAUAUUGCACAAUGGGCGCAAGCCUGAUGCAGCCAUGCCGCGUGUGUGAAGAAGGCCUUCGGGUUGUAAAGCACUUUCAGCGGGGAGGAAGGCGGUGAGGUUAAUAACCUCGUCGAUUGACGUUACCCGCAGAAGAAGCACCGGCUAACUCCGUGCCAGCAGCCGCGGUAAUACGGAGGGUGCAAGCGUUAAUCGGAAUUACUGGGCGUAAAGCGCACGCAGGCGGUCUGUCAAGUCGGAUGUGAAAUCCCCGGGCUCAACCUGGGAACUGCA